RNAcentral lists this ribosomal RNA (1146 nucleotides) under Campylobacter coli. RNAcentral describes it as "partial 23S ribosomal RNA". It matches the Rfam family "Bacterial large subunit ribosomal RNA", at positions 1767 to 2925 of the family's 2925-position model. Lineage: Bacteria; Pseudomonadati; Campylobacterota; Epsilonproteobacteria; Campylobacterales; Campylobacteraceae. The record is from RNAcentral.
GCGAAGAAACUUACAACAAAGAGUCCCUCCCGACUGUUUACCAAAAACACAGCACUCUGCUAACUCGUAAGAGGAUGUAUAGGGUGUGACGCCUGCCCGGUGCUCGAAGGUUAAUUGAUGGGGUUAGCAUUAGCGAAGCUCUUGAUCGAAGCCCGAGUAAACGGCGGCCGUAACUAUAACGGUCCUAAGGUAGCGAAAUUCCUUGUCGGUUAAAUACCGACCUGCAUGAAUGGCGUAACGAGAUGGGAGCUGUCUCAAAGAGGGAUCCAGUGAAAUUGUAGUGGAGGUGAAAAUUCCUCCUACCCGCGGCAAGACGGAAAGACCCCGUGGACCUUUACUACAGCUUGACACUGCUAUUUGGAUAAGAAUGUGCAGGAUAGGUGGGAGGCUUUGAGUAUAUGACGCCAGUUGUAUAUGAGCCAUUGUUGAGAUACCACUCUUUCUUAUUUGGGUAGCUAACCAGCUUGAGUUAUCCUCAAGUGGGACAAUGUCUGGUGGGUAGUUUGACUGGGGCGGUCGCCUCCCAAAUAAUAACGGAGGCUUACAAAGGUUGGCUCAGAACGGUUGGAAAUCGUUCGUAGAGUAUAAAGGUAUAAGCCAGCUUAACUGCAAGACAUACAAGUCAAGCAGAGACGAAAGUCGGUCUUAGUGAUCCGGUGGUUCUGUGUGGAAGGGCCAUCGCUCAAAGGAUAAAAGGUACCCCGGGGAUAACAGGCUGAUCUCCCCCAAGAGCUCACAUCGACGGGGAGGUUUGGCACCUCGAUGUCGGCUCAUCGCAUCCUGGGGCUGGAGCAGGUCCCAAGGGUAUGGCUGUUCGCCAUUUAAAGCGGUACGCGAGCUGGGUUCAGAACGUCGUGAGACAGUUCGGUCCCUAUCUGCCGUGGGCGUAAGAAGAUUGAAGAGAUUUGACCCUAGUACGAGAGGACCGGGUUGAACAAACCACUGGUGUAGCUGUUGUUCUGCCAAGAGCAUCGCAGCGUAGCUAAGUUUGGAAAGGAUAAACGCUGAAAGCAUCUAAGCGUGAAGCCAACUCUAAGAUGAAUCUUCUCUAAGCUCUCUAGAAGACUACUAGUUUGAUAGGCUGGGUGUGUAAUGGAUGAAAGUCCUUUAGCUGACCAGUACUAAUAGAGCGUUUGGCUUAUCUUU